Molecule: long non-coding RNA, 1228 nt
Organism: Paramisgurnus dabryanus
Lineage: Eukaryota; Metazoa; Chordata; Actinopteri; Cypriniformes; Cobitidae
Source: RefSeq, a predicted model, not a curated record
AGUGGUCUCAAACUCCCGGCCCGCGGGCCAUUUGCGGCCCGCCCUCCCCCUCUCUGCGGCCCGCGUCACCUUUCAACAAUAUAACGUAAUCUGGCCCGCAGAAAGAUUUUUAUUUAAAUUUGUUUUUUUUUAUUUAAACGUUUAAGGGUUCGGUCACAUGUCGCGUCUAACAACGCAAGUUAAAACGAGUCGAGGCGUUUCUUAAAGUAUGUUUACUUUUCAAAGUGCUUGCUUGGGAGCGGAGGUUGCGCAGCGUGGGGUCGCGUCACCCGUUGCUACGCAGCCACGAGCGCGCGCUCCGUGAUGAUGGCGAGGGUAACGGAAUGCGUGAUCGGAUUUUAAUUCCUCUCGCGUCAAUCAUAUCAUUGUCACAAUGCGAUCAGUUCAUCUGAUCGCGACUUUGUAGUGUUUGUCCAGAGAAGAUUUGUUACUUCCGGGUGGAUACUCUGUUACUCAGAGAAGAGCUGCUGUGGGGUUAUUACCGUAGUUCACCUCAAGUCACAGCUUCUAAUGGAGACACCGCAGUGGGAGAUGUAGUGCAACAGUUUAAUAUUAAACUACGGAUGAGAAAAUGACCCAUCAAAGUGCCCAGGUUAGGAAAAGAGGAAAGAUGAGGAGAAAUUACAGAGGAUACAAAUGAACUCAGUUUUUUAUACCUGUGAUCAGAUAUUCAUUUUCACCACUGCUCUCAAGAUUUACCCCACACAAAGAUGAGGAGGAACCUGUGAGGAUGGUAUCCACUUCCCUAUCGGGACCUUUAAACAUCUAUGAAGAGAGAUAUAAGACCCUUUAGAGACGGAUAAAAGAUGGAUAAUCUUGUCCUGGAGAAGCUAAAACAAUGGAACUUGGAGGUUCUGAUACCAGCUUUUACCAAGUUCUUUUCAGAUUUCACAAAACUUCCCAAUGUUAUUCCCUGACCAUGCAGAAAAGCUAUUUGAAACUUGGACAUUGCAUUUUACAGACAGAAUCCUGCAACUCCCCAGCCAGGAACAUCAACAAAUCACCUGCAGAACCCCAUGAUGAUAUUCCAACUCCUGUCUACAAAAGUGGAAAGAAAAAUCUUAAGUCUACAUAUUCUGAUUGGCCAGUCGUGACAUUCUACUACUGCUCAAAACUAAAAACUCUGAUGCUGCAAAUUAUUUUGACAGGUACAAUUUAAUAUUACACAAAAAUUAAAUGUCAAUGUCUAUUAAUAACAUAUCUAACAUUAAAUUUACAAAUGAUUAAA